UACGUAGGGGGCAAGCGUUGUCCGGAUUCAUUGGGCGUAAAGAGCGUGUAGGCGGCCAGGUAGGUCGGUUGUGAAAACUGGAGGCUCAACCUUCAGAGGUCGACCGAAACCAUCUGGCUAGAGUCCGGGAGAGGAGAGUGGAAUUCCAGGUGUAGCGGUGAAAUGCGUAGAUAUUGGGAAGAACACCAGUGGCGAAAGCGGACUUCUGGGUAGUUACUGACGCUGAGGUACGGAAAGCGAUGGGGAGCAAACGGGG
Molecule: ribosomal RNA, 256 nt
Filed under: uncultured bacterium
Lineage: Bacteria
Description: partial 16S ribosomal RNA
Rfam family: Bacterial small subunit ribosomal RNA
Source: RNAcentral